RNAcentral lists this ribosomal RNA (430 nucleotides) under Acidobacteriota bacterium. RNAcentral's name for it is "Acidobacteria bacterium partial 16S ribosomal RNA". It matches the Rfam family "Bacterial small subunit ribosomal RNA", at positions 355 to 776 of the family's 1533-position model. The record is from RNAcentral. Lineage: Bacteria; Pseudomonadati; Acidobacteriota.
UGGGGAAUAUUGGACAAUGGGCGCAAGCCUGAUCCAGCCAUGCCGCGUGUGUGAAGAAGGCCUUUUGGUUGUAAAGCACUUUAAGCGAGGAGGAGGCUACUUGGAUUAAUACUCUAGGAUAGUGGACGUUACUCGCAGAAUAAGCACCGGCUAACUCUGUGCCAGCAGCCGCGGUAAUACAGAGGGUGCGAGCGUUAAUCGGAUUUACUGGGCGUAAAGCGUGCGUAGGCGGCUUCUUAAGUCGGAUGUGAAAUCCCUGAGCUUAACUUAGGAAUUGCAUUCGAUACUGGGAAGCUAGAGUAUGGGAGAGGAUGGUAGAAUUCCAGGUGUAGCGGUGAAAUGCGUAGAGAUCUGGAGGAAUACCGGUGGCGAAGGCAGCCAUCUGGCCUAAUACUGACGCUGAGGUACGAAAGCAUGGGGAGCAAACAGG